This 72-nucleotide transfer RNA is filed under the name Lepisosteus oculatus (spotted gar). It matches the Rfam family "tRNA". Rfam says of the family: Transfer RNA (tRNA) molecules are approximately 80 nucleotides in length. Lineage: Eukaryota; Metazoa; Chordata; Actinopteri; Semionotiformes; Lepisosteidae. The record is from Rfam by way of RNAcentral.
GCCGUGAUCGUCUAGUGCUCAGCACUCUGUGUUGUGGCCUCAACGACCCCGGGUCGAAUCCGGGCCACGGCA